UAUUCUGCCCCAUGGGGAAGGAUGAGAAGCUUCGACUAAGGUUCGACUCGAGCGAAGCGAGAGAACGU
This 68-nucleotide small RNA is filed under the name Klebsiella pneumoniae. Its description in RNAcentral is "partial RtT sRNA". It matches the Rfam family "RtT RNA", at positions 1 to 68 of the family's 130-position model. From Rfam's summary of the family: This family represents a bacterial cis-regulatory element known as RtT RNA. The exact function of RtT is unknown although it is thought that it may be involved in changing the cellular response in relation to amino acid starvation. Lineage: Bacteria; Pseudomonadati; Pseudomonadota; Gammaproteobacteria; Enterobacterales; Enterobacteriaceae. RNAcentral also lists the same sequence under 2 other names. The record is from RNAcentral.